Cyprinus carpio (common carp) is the source of this 1514-nucleotide long non-coding RNA. The record is from Ensembl. Lineage: Eukaryota; Metazoa; Chordata; Actinopteri; Cypriniformes; Cyprinidae.
AAGCUAAUAAUAACUAAUUUAUCGAAUGCAUCACACUGAUCUAUAACAGAGAACUUGCAAAUAGAUCAGUGAUGCAUCAUCUUUCAGGUGGCGUAUGGAGCCCCAAAAUGACAAUUAUGAGGCGCAUGCAAACUUUGCCUUAUUGUUACGUUAAAAAGUAUACGUGAUUAAAUCGAUUCAUUUCUAAAUUAAGAUAAUCGCCUGAUAACCGCAUUUCGCUUCAGAUAGCCUCAUCUAAACGAAUGUGAUUGGCCCAUCCUUAUCAGCGCAGAGAAAAGUAACGAGCACCUCGUGAUGUAUGUGCAGCUUCACUAUCGGUUUGUAGAAAUGUGUGAACCCAGCUAAAUCAUAUAACUACGAAACGUUAAAGGCAAAUUAAUUGAAAAUACACAUUUUUAAUAUUCAAAUAAAAAAAUAAGCUAUUUCGACUCAUCGUACCUGACCAAUCAUAUAAAACGCCAGGGCCGCAAGUUCCGCCCUUUCAGACACUCGAGCCAUAAAAAUGUCCAUUCUACCGACUUUAUUCAAUUUCUAUGGCAGGUAGUUCAAUGCGGAUUCAUAGAACAUCGAUACGUUUCGUGGCUUCUCGUCGUUUGGCAGAUUUGACCACGCCUUUUAUUUACAUCUGAUGGGGCUGUGUGAAUGCAAUGAAUACCAUGGAGAGGAGCACCACUGCAAUGAGAGUCAUUAAUUGAUGAAUAAACCAAUAAAUGCAGUAUUAAUCAUAUGAAUCCGUGCCACUGCUGGGAUUAUUAAUUUACGGUGAUAAUGGCAGCUGUGAGUCUGACGGAUCCACUUUGCAAGCCUUGCUCUUACAGCCCACAUUUCAAAGUUGAGGUGUGCGUGAGGAAGCCCUUGAUGCCCAUCCACCUGAGCAGGGAGCAGGUGGCACUGGAGAUGCUGUGUCUUUGCAGCCAGAUGGACCUCCUGAUCAGAGCUCAGGUGCAUCAGCAGUUUCAGGAGCAGCUCAAACAGGACACAAGUCCUGAAGAGUCUGAGAGUUUUCAAAAACAAGGGGCAGAGAUAAUAUAUCAGAUGAACCAGUGCCUUGAACAUCUCAAUGAACCGGUGCUUCAGCUUGAGGAGUAUUUGGAUGUUGUAGGAUUAUCUACUCUGUUCCCUCGAGUGGAAGUUUAUAUGAUACAUGGAAGCCCUGUUGACAUGUUGGAAAGACCACCUUCAGAUGUUUAUUUUCCUCAUAUUGGGAGGCUGAAUCAGCUGCUGGUUCUCAGUCAGCAGUUAGAUGAAGAUGUGAAGCAUCUGGGCAGUCAUAAGUACGUCGCACAUCAGCUAUCAGCAAUUUACCAAGUCCUAAACUCUCUCAAAGAUAUUGUGCCAUUAUCCGUCAUAAGAAAGGAUAUUGAGGCUAAUUUCAAGCAGCUGAAGAAGUCUCUUUCAAUAGAGGAGGGGUCCAAGCUGGAUCCUCAGUUGCCAGCACAUCGCGUGAGCUGGUGAGAGUGGUUUUAGUUCCAUUUGUUAGAAUUAGCCAAAAGUUGUUAGAAUCCAGGAUAAUU